GACAGAGGGUGCAAACGUUGUUCGGAAUUACUGGGCGUAAAGCGCGUGUAGGCGGCCCGGAAAGUCGGAUGUGAAAGCCCUGGGCUUAACCUAGGAAGUGCAUUCGAAACUCCCGUGGCUUGAGUUCUGGAGAGGGAAGCGGAAUUCUCGGUGUAGAGGUGAAAUUCGUAGAUAUCGAGAGGAACACCGAUGGCGAAGGCAGGUCUCUGGGCUGACACUGACGCUCAUGCACGAAAGCGUGGGGAGCAAACAGG
This 254-nucleotide ribosomal RNA is filed under the name uncultured bacterium. Its description in RNAcentral is "partial 16S ribosomal RNA". It matches the Rfam family "Bacterial small subunit ribosomal RNA", at positions 524 to 776 of the family's 1533-position model. The record is from RNAcentral.